This 1277-nucleotide long non-coding RNA is filed under the name Geospiza fortis (medium ground-finch). Its description in RNAcentral is "lncRNA (ENSGFOG00000002669.1)". The record is from RNAcentral. Lineage: Eukaryota; Metazoa; Chordata; Aves; Passeriformes; Thraupidae.
UCAUAAGUUGGCCAUCCCAAGAGUAUUUCUACUUGAAGCAGUCAUUAAUUAUUCUGACCAGGAUUGUCUGUCUUUUCUAUUUAUAGGCUGGCCAUGGGCGACACUGACUGUUCUUGGGUUCCUCUACUGCUAUUCUCAUGUUGGAAUUGAGUGGGAGCAGAAGUGUGCUGCACACUAGGAAUGAUGCAAACCAUUAUUCUUGAGUCACAUCCAACACAUGUCCUGCCAGAGCAUCUGAGUGAGUCCCAGCUGCCUGUGGCACCACCCAACCUAUGGAUGAACAAUGUGGCUCAGACAUCCCCAGCCUGGGGGACACGCACUGGCAGCUCCAAGCUUGAGAGGCUUUCUCAGAUGCCACCAAUGCCCAGGAGGACAGGAAAAGGAAAAUUCCAGUGGAUAUGACACACUUUAGACACUGCACAAAAGGUGGAGCUGAAGGGUGUCAAGGCUCAACGUUGAGGCAGCCUCAGCAUGGCUCCCUUUAGUUCCUACAAGCUUUACACAUAAGUGAACUGCUCCAAGAGGAAAAAGGUCUGUGCACUCUGUACCCACUAGAGAUAAUGCCAGUAUUAAAACUAUGCUCAAAAAUCUCCUCAUUCCUUAUGCUGGGAAUCACAAAGAUCUGAGUGAGAACAAGUUAAGCUAACAUCAGGAUCUAACAGGCAAAUUUGGACCACAAAUUAGGCUGCACCACCUUUCUUAAUAUCCAGGGGCAGCUCAAUGUGUAAAUAGCUUUAGGUAGCUCAUAUCAGCACCUUUCAGGAACAGAACAAAUUAAAUGGGCUACCUGUGGCCCGUGCCUUCCCCAGCAAUGGUCAGCCUGAAGGUUACACAAAUGCAUUCUAUCCACAGGGAUUUAAGAAAAGCUUUAUAUAUGGCUGAGCAGCUGAAGUGAAUCAUUGCAGACAGGUGCAUCAGCCAGCCACUGAAAAAUUAAAGUUUACUGAGAAAGUAGCACAGAAAUAUAACUUCAGUCACGACCUGUGGCAUUUAAAUUGUAUUGGCACUCCCUCUAGAGCUGAUCUUUCUUGACAAAAUUAAUUAAUUUUUAUGGACCAUAACAUUUUCAUCCCUGCACUAGCGCAUUUGAAUUUCCAAAAUUAGGUGACAAAAAUAGAAGAACUGGAAAUUAUACUGGAAGACCAGAAAGAGCUACACAGUUCGUAAAUUAAUUAAAAUGCAAGUCAGGGAAAAAAUUAGGUCCAGUUGAUUUAUUUUUUUUUAGACUACUGCCAGAAGGGUUAAGGUUGCUUUAGGGGCUCAGGUAUGUGGGAGGA